Molecule: ribosomal RNA, 440 nt
Filed under: uncultured bacterium
Lineage: Bacteria
Description: partial 16S ribosomal RNA
Rfam family: Bacterial small subunit ribosomal RNA
Source: RNAcentral
CCUACGGGGGGCUGCAGUGGGGGAUAUUGCACAAUGGGGGAAACCCUGAUGCAGCGACGCCGCGUGAGUGAAGAAGUCUUUCGGUAUGUAAAGCUCUAUCAGCAGGGAAGAAAAUCACAGUACUUGACCAACAUUCCCUGGCCAACUCGGUUCCAGCAGCCGCGGUAAUACGCAGGGGGCAAGCGUUAUCCGGAUUUACCGGGUGUAAAGGGAGCGUAGACGGUUAUGUAAGUCUGGAGUGAAAGCCCGGGGCCCAACCCCGGGACUGCUUUGGAAACUGUGUAACUGGAGUACAGGAGGGGCAGGCGGAAUUCCUGGUGUAGCGGUGAAAUGCAUAGAUAUCACGCAGAACCCCGAUUGCGAAGGCAGCAUGCCGGCUUCCGACUGACGCUGAAGCACGAAAGCGUGGGGAUCGAACAGGAUUAGAUACCCGAGUAGUC